This 142-nucleotide long non-coding RNA is filed under the name Monodelphis domestica (gray short-tailed opossum). Its description in RNAcentral is "lncRNA (ENSMODG00000045175.1)". The record is from RNAcentral. Lineage: Eukaryota; Metazoa; Chordata; Mammalia; Didelphimorphia; Didelphidae.
CUGUGCUCCAGCGCCUGGGAAGGGGAGUCUCCGGAGCGAGGGGGAGAAGAUAUAUUCCCUUGAGGAUCCACGUUGGUUCCUGCCUGACCCUCUUGGAGGUCAAAGUUCUGGGCACAUAAGAAACUCAGUAAAUAGUUUUUCU